Molecule: transfer RNA, 89 nt
Filed under: Actinomycetes bacterium
Lineage: Bacteria; Bacillati; Actinomycetota; Actinomycetes
Also listed under: 1 other name
Description: Actinobacteria bacterium tRNA-Ser
Rfam family: tRNA
About the family: Transfer RNA (tRNA) molecules are approximately 80 nucleotides in length.
Source: RNAcentral
GGAGGGGUGGCAGAGCGGUUGAAUGCGGCGGUCUCGAAAACCGUUUCGGGGCGUUAGCUCCGACGGGGGUUCGAAUCCCUCCCCCUCCG